CCUACGGGGGGCAGCAGUGGGGAAUAUUGGACAAUGGGGGGAACCCUGAUCCAGCCAUGCCGCGUGUGUGAAGAAGGCCCUCGGGUUGUAAAGCACUUUCAGUGAGGAAGAACGCCUGGUGGUUAAUACCCAUCAGGAAAGACAUCACUCACAGAAGAAGCACCGGCUAACUCCGUGCCAGCAGCCGCGGUAAUACGGAGGGUGCGAGCGUUAAUCGGAAUUACUGGGCGUAAAGCGCGCGUAGGUGGCUUGAUAAGCCGGUUGUGAAAGCCCCGGGCUCAACCUGGGAACGGCAUCCGGAACUGUCAAGCUAGAGUGCAGGAGAGGAAGGUAGAAUUCCCGGUGUAGCGGUGAAAUGCGUAGCGAUCGGGAGGAAUACCAGUGGCGAAGGCGGCCUUCUGGACUGACACUGACACUGAGGUGCGAAAGCGUGGGUAGCAAACAGGAUUAGAUACCCCUGUAGUC
RNAcentral lists this ribosomal RNA (465 nucleotides) under Vreelandella stevensii. RNAcentral describes it as "partial 16S ribosomal RNA". It matches the Rfam family "Bacterial small subunit ribosomal RNA", at positions 338 to 795 of the family's 1533-position model. The record is from RNAcentral. Lineage: Bacteria; Pseudomonadati; Pseudomonadota; Gammaproteobacteria; Oceanospirillales; Halomonadaceae.